UUUUGAUUGUUGCUCAGAAAGCCCUUUGUUUAUCGAGUUGGCUUUCAAGUGACAAUCAAGUUG
RNAcentral lists this microRNA precursor (63 nucleotides) under Capitella teleta. Its description in RNAcentral is "Cte-Mir-315_pre stem-loop". Lineage: Eukaryota; Metazoa; Annelida; Polychaeta; Capitellidae. The record is from RNAcentral.